Molecule: long non-coding RNA, 1152 nt
Filed under: Naja naja (Indian cobra)
Lineage: Eukaryota; Metazoa; Chordata; Lepidosauria; Squamata; Elapidae
Description: lncRNA (ENSNNAG00000007784.1)
Source: RNAcentral
AUGAUCUCUGGAGGGCUCAGGAUAGGGGUUUUCCUCUGUCCUGGUCUUUUUAGAUCUCUCGGCGGCUUUCGAUACCAUCGACCAUGGUAUCCUACUGCGGCGGCUCCGGGGGUUGGGAGUGGGAGGCACCGUUUUACAGUGGUUCUCCUACCUCUCGGGCCACUUGCAGUCGGUGUUGGCAGGGGAGCAGAGGUCGACCCCAAGGCCCCUCACUUGUGGGGUGCCACAGGGGUCAGUCCUCUCACUCUCCUGUUCAACAUCUACAUGAAGCCGCUGGGCGAGAUCAUCCGUGGUUUUGGGGUGAGGUAUCACCAAUAUGCGGAUGAUACCCAGCUUUACAUCUCCACCCCAAACCAUAUCAGUGAUGCUCUCUCCGUGAUGUCCUGUUGUCUGGAUGCGGUGCAGAUCUGGAUGGGGAGGAAAAGGCUCCAACUCAACCCAGCUAAGACUGAGUGGCUGUACGUACCGGCAUCUCGGAUUACUCAGGAUAUACCAUCUUUGGUCAUGGGGGAGGACAGGGCGGAACCUGGGUGUCCUCCUGGAUUCACAGCUCAGUUUGGAGGAGCAGGUGGGAACUGUGACCAGGGGGGCCUUUGCCCAGGUUCAGCUGGUUCGCCAGCUCUGCCCUUACCUGAGCCAAGAUGCCCUAUGGACAGUCACUCAUGCGCUCGUCGCCUCCUGAAUCGACUACUGCAACGUUCUCUACAUGGGACUGCCCUUGCGGACCACCUGGAGGUUGCAGCUGGUGCAGAAUGCGGCUGCGUGGGUUGUGAUGGGGGUGUCCCGAUACUCCCAUGUUACACCCCUUCCUGCACAACCUGCGGUUGCCGGUUGCCAGUUGCCUUCCGGGUAAGAUUCAAGGUGUUAGUAACAACUUAUAAAGUCCUAAAUGGCUUGGGUCCAGGGUACUUGCGGGAACGCCUCCUGCCAGCAUCACAUUCCAAUCGCCCGGUACACUCCUACAGGCAGGGCCUCCUUGGGGUACCAUCAGUUAGGCAUUGUCGACUGGCGGUGCCCAGGGGUAGAGCCUUCUCUGUGGAAGCACCCGCCCUAUGGAACCAACUCCCUGUGGACUUCUGUUUAGCCCCCGAUCUCCGCUCCUUCUGCCGAGACCUGAAGACCUUGCUGUUCCAACAGGACGGUCUGGACUGA